RNAcentral lists this ribosomal RNA (366 nucleotides) under uncultured Streptococcus sp. Its description in RNAcentral is "bacterial SSU rRNA". It matches the Rfam family "Bacterial small subunit ribosomal RNA", at positions 1014 to 1382 of the family's 1533-position model. The record is from RNAcentral. Lineage: Bacteria; Bacillati; Bacillota; Bacilli; Lactobacillales; Streptococcaceae.
UUAACUUCGGUACAUCGGUGGACAGGUGGUGCAUGGUUGUCGUCAGCUCGUGUCGUGAGAUGUUGGUUAAGUCCCGCAACGAGCGCAACCCCUAUUGUAGUUGCCAUCAUUCAGUUGGGCACUCUAGCGAGACUGCCGGUAAUAAACCGGAGGAAGGUGGGGAUGACGUCGAAUCAUCAUGCCCCUUAUGACCUGGGCUACACACGUGCUACAAUGGUUGGUACAACGAGUUGCGAGUCGGUGACGGCGAGCUAAUCUCUUAAAGCCAAUCUCAGUUCGGAUUGUAGGCUGCAACUCGCCUACAUGAAGUCGGAAUCGCUAGUAAUCGCGGAUCAGCACGCCGCGGUGAAUACGUUCCCGGGCCUU